This 586-nucleotide ribosomal RNA is filed under the name Bos taurus (domestic cattle). Its description in RNAcentral is "similar to 12S ribosomal RNA". It matches the Rfam family "Bacterial small subunit ribosomal RNA", at positions 20 to 987 of the family's 1533-position model. Lineage: Eukaryota; Metazoa; Chordata; Mammalia; Artiodactyla; Bovidae. The record is from RNAcentral.
GCCUUCCUGUUAACUCUUAAUAAAACUUACACAUGCAAGCAUCUACACCCCAGUGAGAAUGCCUCUAGGUUAUUAAAACUAAGAGGAGCUGGCAUCAAGCACACACCCCUGUAGCUCACGACGCCUUGCUUAAACACACCCCACGGGAAACAGCCAGUGACCAAAAAUUUAGCCCAUAAACGAAAGUUUUGACUAAGUUAUAUUAAUUAGGGUUUGGUAAAUCUCGUGCCAGCCACCGCGGUCAUACGAUUAACCCAAGCUAACAGGAGUAACGGCGUAAAACGUGUUAAAGCACCAUACCAAAUAGGGUUAAAUUCUAACUAAGCUGUAAAAAGCCAUGAUUAAAAUAAAAAUAAAUGACGAAAGUGACCCUACAAUAGCCGACGCACUAUAGCUAAGACCAAACUGGGAUUAGAUACCCCACUAUGCUUAGCCCUAAACACAGAUAUUACAUAAACAAAAUUAUUCGCCAGAGUACUACUAGCAACAGCUUAAAACUCAAAGGACUUGGCGGUGCUUUAUAUCCUUUCUAGAGGAGCCUGUUCUAUAAAUCGAUUAACCCGAUAAACUCAACAAUUCUUGCUAA